GUCCCCGUAGCUCAACUGGAUAGAGCAGUCCCGUCCUAAGGGAAAGACUGGCAGUUCGACUCUGCCCGGGGACG
Molecule: transfer RNA, 74 nt
Filed under: Candidatus Gottesmanbacteria bacterium
Lineage: Bacteria; Candidatus Gottesmaniibacteriota
Description: tRNA-Arg
Source: RNAcentral